AUCGCGGGUUCGUGGAAGAACCCUUUUGACUUGUAAUUGAGAUUGGUUGAUAGUGGUUUGCUAAUAAGGGCUUGAUGGUGACUAGCUUAUAUUGGGGUGAGACCGUUGACUUCACCUAGAUGUAGAUUUAUUAAAGUUAAGACUUCCGCUGCAAUAGAUUAGAAUUAUGGUUUGUUAUAGAAGUGUAUUAAUUAAUUACAUUUUCUUUUAGUUGUAAUAGUUAAUAAUUAAUUUAUGUAUUAGUAGUAGUACCUUUCGCCUUGCUGUUA
Long non-coding RNA from Beta vulgaris subsp. vulgaris (sugar beet), 269 nucleotides. RefSeq lists it as uncharacterized. Lineage: Eukaryota; Viridiplantae; Streptophyta; Magnoliopsida; Caryophyllales; Amaranthaceae. The record is from RefSeq and is a predicted model, not a curated record. The transcript has 2 exons.